This 305-nucleotide ribosomal RNA is filed under the name uncultured bacterium. RNAcentral describes it as "bacterial SSU rRNA". It matches the Rfam family "Bacterial small subunit ribosomal RNA", at positions 333 to 631 of the family's 1533-position model. The record is from RNAcentral.
UUGGUCCUACGGGACGCAGCAGUAGGGAAUCUUCCACAAUGGGCGAAAGCCUGAUGGAGCAACGCCGCGUGGGUGAAGAAGGUCUUCGGAUCGUAAAACCCUGUUGUUAGAGAAGAAAGUGCGUGAGAGUAACUGUUCACGUUUCGACGGUAUCUAACCAGAAAGCCACGGCUAACUACGUGCCAGCAGCCGCGGUAAUACGUAGGUGGCGAGCGUUAUCCGGAAUGAUUGGGCGUAAAGGGUGCGCAGGCGGAAUAACAAGUCUGAAGUAAAAGGCAUUGGCUUAACCAAUGUAUGCUAUGGAA